CCUCUCUGCGCCUCUGCCUCUGCCUCUGCCUCUGCCUCUGCCUCUGCCUCUGCCUCUGCCUGCAGACUAUUGGGAUGAAAGGCCUACACUACCACCUCCUGGCUUAUUUCAACUCUACAUAAGAGGCCAAGAACUGGAAAACAUCUGACCCAGGCCCCAACCGCUUAUAACACACAGGAAGCCCCUCCAGACUUCUCAACCACAUAUGACCCUGCAUGGUGGCCCUCGCCCUCGCCCCAGGGUGCAGGCCCUCGCAUGGGGAUCACUUGCGCCCCAGUUCGACACUGAACAUUAUGUACCUGCUUUAACCUUUGACACCCCAGCCGUCCCAGAGAUGUGGAGGUUCUGUCUUCUCCAGAGCUCCUGACAAAGGACAUCAAAACACCGGCAGAGAGGAGGUCGCUUGUGCCCUGGAAAGUCUCCGAAGCAAGAGGAAUGGCUAAUGAAACCUCCUCUCCGCAGAGUAAUUCAGCAAUUAUCUUCUGGUGCUCAGCGUGAGCCAACACACCAUCCUAAAGAACAGCUCAUCCCACAGGCAUGCACACGGCUGUCUGCUCCUCCCAGGCCCUGGGGCUACAAGUACAGCGGCCAGCUGGAAAGGCAAGGCAGCCUGGCUGGAAGAGCUAGGCAGUGCUGGAGUGGUGAACCCAGAUGCCUUCAGUCCCAGGGACGGGAAGGGGUGUGGAGCAGGGGAAAGCGGCAGGGCUCAGGCUACAAACAGGCUGACUGUUCAUGACUCCCUGGUCACUCAGGGCUACCCAGGUCUGUGUCUAGGGACCUCGAAGGGAGACAACUAGCAACGUCAUUCAGGUGGGAAAAGGGCAGUUUCAGGAAAGACCUAAGCACUCAAAGGCCAGCCAGUGGGCAUGGAUGGGCAGCCUGAGGCCCUACUGCUCAGGAAAGGUCUGUGCAUCCUAAGUAGUUAGACGGGAACUUCAUCUCGGUGUAGCUUCUGCAGGUGUGAUUCACAGCUGGAAGACACCAGACUGCACGGCAUCCACAGAAGUCUCUUCUCUGAAAGGGACUCAUGCUACUGAUGUUGAUUUGAAUUGGAUAGCUUGGAGUAACUCGAUGCCACAGCUAAAUGUUCCAAGCAUGAAUCACCCUUCAGCAACACCUACUCACGCCCCAGAAGCCAAGGUUAAGCUCACCAGUAGCCCUGGCUUUGACAGAGGCAGAGCUGUGACAUGAACGCCGUGGAGGGUUUGUUUACUGGAGCCUCGCCUGUGUAGUCCUCGAUUACCUAGCCCGAGUACUCUCAGCUGGGCCUGCUGUCCAUGCUGUGCCCUAAGCUGAUGGAACCAUUCUCCCUCGGGACCACACACCACCACUGUUCUGACCUCCCAGGUAAAUACAUUUAUAAAGCCCUGCAUUCCAUUGUCCUGCCCUUCCCACUGAUCAUGUUGACCGCCUUAGUGACUUUCUAUGAAUAGUACUGAACCUGCCUCAGGAGGGUCUGAGAACUCUGAACGCAUAUGGAACACUGCUUGGUGCUUGGCCCAUAACAAGUAAAAGACCUAAUUAUAGCAAGGGAAGUAGAUGGCUUCAGACACUUCCCAACCAGGAAGGGUGGAACCCCAUCCUACUUCCAGGACUGGACUUGGGCCAUGCACGAGCUUGCUGGAGCGUUGCCCCGCUCCGUGUUUAUCCCAUGUGCAACUGUCCUUUAAGGCUGCUUGGCUUCCAUCUGACCUGCCACUCCCAAGAUGCCUGAUUCCAGAGCUAAUAUCUCCUAGAAGAAACUGCCACACUCCUCUGAGGUCAGGUGCAGGGUGAUGGGUAGUGUUUAACCUUAGCCUUAGGGUUUUUUCUUCUCUAAGAUUUAUUUAUCCACUACAUGUAAGUACACUGUAGCCCUAGACACCCCUUCCUCUCCAUCCAGCCCACCUUGCUCUAGCCCAGCUCUCUCUGGCCCAAAGAUUUAUGUACUUACCACAUGUAAGUACACUGUUGCUGUCUUCAGACAUCCCAGAAGAGGGUAUCAGAUCUCAUUAUGGAUGGUUGUGAGCCACCGUGUGGUUGCUGCGACUUGAACU
This is a long non-coding RNA of Mus musculus (house mouse), 2036 nucleotides long. RefSeq annotates it as predicted gene, 36635. The record is from RefSeq and is a predicted model, not a curated record. The transcript has 3 exons. Lineage: Eukaryota; Metazoa; Chordata; Mammalia; Rodentia; Muridae.